CCUACGGGAGGCAGCAGUGGGGAAUAUUGGACAAUGGGCGAAAGCCUGAUCCAGCCAUGCCGCGUGUGUGAAGAAGGCCUUCGGGUUGUAAAGCACUUUCAGCGGGGAGGAAGGCGUUAAGGUUAAUAACCUUGUCGAUUGACGUUACCCGCAGAAGAAGCACCGGCUAACUCCGUGCCAGCAGCCGCGGUAAUACGGAGGGUGCAAGCGUUAAUCGGAAUUACUGGGCGUAAAGCGCACGCAGGCGGUCUGUCAAGUCGGAUGUGAAAUCCCCGGGCUCAACCUGGGAACUGCAUUCGAAACUGGCAGGCUAGAGUCUUGUAGAGGGGGGUAGAAUUCCAGGUGUAGCGGUGAAAUGCGUAGAGAUCUGGAGGAAUACCGGUGGCGAAGGCGGCCCCCUGGACAAAGACUGACGCUCAGGUGCGAAAGCGUGGGGAGCAAACAGGAUUAGAUACCCGUGUAGUC
RNAcentral lists this ribosomal RNA (465 nucleotides) under uncultured Klebsiella sp. RNAcentral's name for it is "bacterial SSU rRNA". It matches the Rfam family "Bacterial small subunit ribosomal RNA", at positions 338 to 795 of the family's 1533-position model. Lineage: Bacteria; Pseudomonadati; Pseudomonadota; Gammaproteobacteria; Enterobacterales; Enterobacteriaceae. The record is from RNAcentral.